GACGAACGCUGGCGGCGUGCUUAACACAUGCAAGUCGAACGGAAAGGCCCUGCUUUUGUGGGGUGCUCGAGUGGCGAACGGGUGAGUAACACGUGAGUAACCUGCCCUUGACUUUGGGAUAACUUCAGGAAACUGGGGCUAAUACCGGAUAGGAGCUCCUGCUGCAUGGUUGGGGUUGGAAAGUUUCGGCGGUUGGGGAUGGACUCGCGGCUUAUCAGCUUGUUGGUGGGGUAGUGGCUUACCAAGGCUUUGACGGGUAGCCGGCCUGAGAGGGUGACCGGCAACAUUGGGACUGAGAUACGGCCCAGACUCCUACGGGAGGCAGCAGUGGGGAAUAUUGCACAAUGGGCGGAAGCCUGAUGCAGAAACGCCGCGUGAGGGAUGACGGCCUUCGGGUUGUAAACCGCUUUCGCCUGUGACGAAGAGUGAGUGACGGUAAUGGGUAAAGAAGCACCGGCUAACUACGUG
Molecule: ribosomal RNA, 468 nt
Filed under: uncultured bacterium
Lineage: Bacteria
Description: partial 16S ribosomal RNA
Rfam family: Bacterial small subunit ribosomal RNA
Source: RNAcentral